UAGAGACUCAGAGCUGCAUAUCAAUAAGCGGAGGAAAAGAAACUAACAAGGAUUCCCUAGUAACGGCGAGUGAAGCGGGAAGAGCUCAAAUUUGAAAUCUUCAAGGGUUUCCCUUGACGAAUUGUAGUUUAAAGAAGUGUUUUCUGUUAGAGAGGUGGUAAAAGUUCUUUGGAAUAGGACAUCAUAGAGGGUGAGAAUCCCGUAUUUGAUCACUUUCUACUAACGUUGUGAUACACUUUCAAAGAGUCGGAUUGUUUGGGAAUGCAGUCCAAAAUGGGUGGUAAAUUUCAUCUAAAGCUAAAUAUUGGCGAGAGACCGAUAGCGAACAAGUACCGUGAGGGAAAGAUGAAAAGAACUUUGAAAAGAGAGUUAAACAGUACGUGAAAUUGUCAAAAGGGAAGCGUUUGACACCAGUGUUGUUUUUCCGAAAAUCAAUUAUGAAUGGCUUGAUUUUAAGUUUCAUGACCUUAAAAGCUUGUUCCUUAUUUUUCAUGUCUUUCGUAAUGCACUUUCCGGUUAACAAGUCAACAUCAAUUUCUUUUGUUGUAAAAGGUUAAGAGGAAGGUGGCUUUACUUUCGGGUAAAGUGUUUAUAGCCUUUUAACUCUGCAAUCGGAGAGAUUGAGGUCUGCAGCGUAGAUCCUUCGGGGUUAGAUACGUUUGUGCUAAGUUAUAGCUUUUCAUAGACAACUUGUUGACUAUGUUAAGUCUUGUAAUUUACUCGCAGAUGCUAUUUUACCUACGCUUAGGAUGUUGAAGAUAUGCGCGACACG
Molecule: ribosomal RNA, 772 nt
Filed under: uncultured Neocallimastigales
Lineage: Eukaryota; Fungi; Neocallimastigomycota; Neocallimastigomycetes; Neocallimastigales
Description: partial large subunit ribosomal RNA
Rfam family: Eukaryotic large subunit ribosomal RNA
Source: RNAcentral